RNAcentral lists this transfer RNA (74 nucleotides) under Omnitrophica WOR_2 bacterium GWA2_47_8. RNAcentral's name for it is "tRNA-Arg". It matches the Rfam family "tRNA". Rfam says of the family: Transfer RNA (tRNA) molecules are approximately 80 nucleotides in length. Their secondary structure includes four short double-helical elements and three loops (D, anti-codon, and T loops). Lineage: Bacteria; Pseudomonadati; Candidatus Omnitrophota. The record is from RNAcentral.
GCGCCCAUAGCUCAAUUGGAUAGAGCAUUUGGCUUCGGACCAAAGGGUUGGGGGUUCAAGUCCUCCUGGGCGCG